UCAGAGACCCUGAGGGCCAGAGGCCCUGUUUGAUUUAUUUUAUGCGCAUGUUCCCGGGAUAAGAUCCGCGAAGCGGAUAUUAGUGGCCCCUGUUUAGACCCCAGUAUAUCUGUGGAUGGACCUAGGGAAUGCUGUCUAGAGAUAGACAUGGGAGGGUAUGGAUCUCGUAGGUCAGUACUGCCUUUUCUCGAGGGUAUGGGCUGAUGGGACGUAUGGGGAAAGUGUACACCUUUGUGCAGAGUAUAAUCUAUUCGAAUAGCCGAGGCACAUAGUCAUGAGCUCACUAAGUCAAAGCCCCCAUGAUUACUUCUUGAAACUCGUUGGGAAGGGAUUAGUAUGUUAGAAAUACUAGAUUAUAGUCGUUGGACUGGAUUCCAGAAUAAAUCUUGGGGACUGGUAGGGGAGGUAGUUUUCCCCUUCCAAGACCACAACAUUUAAAAUAUUGAAUAACAUAUUUACUAGAGAGUCCUUUCAAUUCUCACCUUUUAAUUCACCAUGCUUGUGACAGAUGCUUUUAGGCAUAGGAUAUG
Molecule: long non-coding RNA, 530 nt
Filed under: Setaria viridis
Lineage: Eukaryota; Viridiplantae; Streptophyta; Magnoliopsida; Poales; Poaceae
Description: long non-coding RNA (SVIR_LNC003469)
Source: RNAcentral